Molecule: ribosomal RNA, 497 nt
Filed under: uncultured bacterium
Lineage: Bacteria
Description: partial 16S ribosomal RNA
Rfam family: Bacterial small subunit ribosomal RNA
Source: RNAcentral
GAUGAACGCUGGCGGCGUGCCUAAUACAUGCAAGUCGAGCGAACAGACGAGGAGCUUGCUCCUCUGACGUUAGCGGCGGACGGGUGAGUAACACGUGGAUAACCUACCUAUAAGACUGGGAUAACUUCGGGAAACCGGAGCUAAUACCGGAUAAUAUAUUGAACCGCAUGGUUCAAUAGUAAAAGACGGUUUUGCUGUCACUUAUAGAUGGAUCCGCGCCGCAUUAGCUAGUUGGUAAGGUAACGGCUUACCAAGGCAACGAUGCGUAACCGACCUGAGGGGGUGAUCGGCCACACUGGAACUGAGACACGGUCCAGACUCCUACGGGAGGCAGCAGUAGGGAAUCUUCCGCAAUGGGCGAAAGCCUGACGGAGCAACGCCGCGUGAGUGAUGAAGGUCUUCGGAUCGUAAAACUCCGUUAUUAGGGAAGAACAAAUGUGUAAGUAACUAUGCACGUCUUGACGGUACCUAAUCAGAAAGCCACGGCUAACUACGUG